This 952-nucleotide long non-coding RNA is filed under the name Zonotrichia albicollis (white-throated sparrow). Its description in RNAcentral is "lncRNA (ENSZALG00000009208.1)". Lineage: Eukaryota; Metazoa; Chordata; Aves; Passeriformes; Passerellidae. The record is from RNAcentral.
GAAGUCUUUCAUGUGUGCUUUUCUCCUGAGUGGUUUCCAGAUUUCACAGGCUGAGUGUAACACUGUGUUUCUGUCUUGUAGAAGGAAAGACUAGCUCGAGGCUACAGCCGAGCUCCUUAAGAGCAGAAAAAGGAAGGCUGCUCCCGUAAUGGGUGUGAAAUACUGACCUUCCAGAAUGGCCAUUUUAAGCAGCUUUUGGGGUUUGUUCCACUGCGGCAAGGAAAGUGUAAUUGUGCUGCCCAGCUCUGUUUGAACAACCUCUCAAAACCAGCCUUGAUCACAGGGAGCUGAGCUCUUUGCCAGCACAGCCCUUGGCAAGGGCUGAUCUCUGAGCGCACGCCUAGUGCUACUGACGGGGCAGGGAUUUAACAGCUCACACAACCAAACCCUCAACUCAGCCUUGUCCUACACCCUCCUCCUCACACAGGGCUGGUGCAUCAUUGCAUGGGAGAUUCAUGCCCUGGCCAGGGAACUGAAUUUUUCUUUUUUCCCCAAGGAAGCAAAGACCAACUCAUCUUGCCAUGGGCAUUAAGGAUCCCAGGUGAACAGCACAAUACAGCCCCAUGUCAAGGUGUGAUUAACAUCAGCUUCCCACUCCUCAGGACAGACACACUGUGGGGGCCUGAAUACAUGUUGUAUUGUGAGAUCAGUGUGUGUCUAAGUUACUCCAAACGAGCUGCAGCUGCAGGGUCCUUAGUUGGGCAACAGCUGUAGCUCGUGAGGGUAACUGAGAUAAAUAGGGGUGGGUCAAGAGCCCAAGAGGAGCCCCUGAGAAGACAGAAGAAGAGCCCCAGCAGAGAGGGAAGAACAACGCUGCAGCCAAACAGAGAGAGAGAGAAGGUAUGGAAUCCCCCGGACAGCCGAGAGCUGUGACAGCCUGAGAGCUGGGACUUUACGUGUAACAACAACACACAUCUUCACUUCCCAGGGGAGCACCCAAGCUGUUAAUAAG